AGGUAAGCUACUAAGAGCGAAUGGUGGAUGCCUUGACUGGUAAAGGCGAUGAAGGACGUACUAGACUGCGAUAAGCUACGGGGAGCUGUCAAGAAGCUUUGAUCCGUAGAUUUCCGAAUGGGGCAACCCAAUGUAUAGAGAUAUACAUUACCUAUAUAGGAGCGAACGAGGGGAAUUGAAACAUCUUAGUACCCUCAGGAAAAGAAAUCAAUAGAGAUUGCGUCAGUAGCGGCGAGCGAAAGCGCAAGAGGGCAAACCCAGUGCUUGCACUGGGGGUUGUAGGACUGCAAUGUGCAAGAGGUAAGUUUAGCAGAACAUUCUGGAAAGUAUAACCAUAGAGGGUGAUAGUCCCGUAUGCGAAAAACAAACCUUAGCUAGCAGUAUCCUGAGUAGGGCGGGACACGAGGAAUCCUGUCUGAAUCCGGGUCGACCACGAUCCAACCCUAAAUACUAAUACCAGAUCGAUAGUGCACAAGUACCGUGAGGGAAAGGUGAAAAGAACUGAGGUGAUCAGAGUGAAAUAGAACCUGAAACCAUUUGCUUACAAUCAUUCAGAGCCCUAUGUAGCAAUACAGGGUGAUGGACUGCCUUUUGCAUAAUGAGCCUGCGAGUUGUGGUGUCUGGCAAGGUUAAGCAAACGCGAAGCCGUAGCGAAAGCGAGUCUGAAUAGGGCGCUUAGUCAGAUGCUGCAGACCCGAAACGAAGUGAUCUAUCCAUGAGCAAGUUGAAGCUAGUGUAAGAACUAGUGGAGGACUGAACCCAUAGGCGUUGAAAAGCCCCGGGAUGACUUGUGGAUAGGGGUGAAAGGCCAAUCAAACUUCGUGAUAGCUGGUUCUCUCCGAAAUAUAUUUAGGUAUAGCGUUGUGUCGUAAUAUAAGGGGGUAGAGCACUGAAUGGGCUAGGGCAUACACCAAUGUACCAAACCCUAUCAAACUCCGAAUACCUUAUAUGUAAUCACAGCAGUCAGGCGGCGAGUGAUAAAAUCCGUCGUCAAGAGGGAAACAACCCAGACUACCAGCUAAGGUCCCUAAAUCUUACUUAAGUGGAAAACGAUGUGAAGUUACUUAAACAACCAGGAGGUUGGCUUAGAAGCAGCCAUCCUUUAAAGAAAGCGUAAUAGCUCACUGGUCUAGUGAUUUUGCGCGGAAAAUAUAACGGGGCUAAAGUAAGUACCGAAGCUGUAGACUUAGUUUACUAAGUGGUAGGAGAGCGUUCUAUUUGCGUCGAAGGUAUACCGGUAAGGAGUGCUGGAGCGAAUAGAAGUGAGCAUGCAGGCAUGAGUAGCGAUAAUUAAUGUGAGAAUCAUUAACGCCGUAAACCCAAGGUUUCCUACGCGAUGCUCGUCAUCGUAGGGUUAGUCGGGUCCUAAGUCGAGUCCGAAAGGGGUAGACGAUGGCAAAUUGGUUAAUAUUCCAAUACCAACAUUAGUGUGCGAUGGAAGGACGCUUAGGGCUAAGGGGGCUAGCGGAUGGAAGUGCU
RNAcentral lists this ribosomal RNA (1479 nucleotides) under Campylobacter coli. RNAcentral's name for it is "partial 23S ribosomal RNA". It matches the Rfam family "Bacterial large subunit ribosomal RNA", at positions 1 to 1508 of the family's 2925-position model. The record is from RNAcentral. RNAcentral also lists the same sequence under 1 other name. Lineage: Bacteria; Pseudomonadati; Campylobacterota; Epsilonproteobacteria; Campylobacterales; Campylobacteraceae.